GACAAAAAAAAAAAAAAAAGCACAAAAGUUCACAUGCAGCUGAUCAGACCUCGGCACACACCGGUUGAAGUUGUUCAUCGAGUAUCAGGAUUAGAACAGGCAGCUUUACAGCCCGGCUUAUUCCUCGCUCAGAUAGGAAAAGUCACUUCCUUAUGUGCUCAGCCUUCUAAGGAAGCAUUUCCUGUGCAGGAGGAGGAGGAGGAGGACGAGAUUGUAUACGCAGCCAGACAACUUGUUGCAAGGCACCACAGACAAAGUUGCUGUCCCCUUCAAUCUUUCUUACGGACAUUUCCCUCACAUGCUUCUGAGGCCCCGACUCAAUGAGAAUGGAAUCUAAUGGAACUGCACCCACGAUAACGAUGGCGUCUAAAACUGUGGGUGCAACCCAAGGCGCAGAAGGAACUGCUGCUGUUGACAGCAGCUUCAACAUCAUAAUUGUUG
Clarias gariepinus (North African catfish) is the source of this 441-nucleotide long non-coding RNA. RefSeq lists it as uncharacterized. NCBI's taxonomy places the organism in Eukaryota, Metazoa, Chordata, Actinopteri, Siluriformes, Clariidae. The record is from RefSeq and is a predicted model, not a curated record. The transcript has 4 exons.